Molecule: ribosomal RNA, 443 nt
Filed under: uncultured bacterium
Lineage: Bacteria
Description: bacterial SSU rRNA
Rfam family: Bacterial small subunit ribosomal RNA
Source: RNAcentral
GUGCCAGCAGCUGCGGUAAUACGGAGGGUGCAAGCGUUAAUCGGAAUUACUGGGCGUAAAGCGCACGCAGGCGGUCUGACAAGUCGGAUGUGAAAUCCCCGGGCUCAACCCGGGAACUGCAUUCGAAACUGUCAGGCUGGAGUCUUGUAGAGGGGGUAGAAUUCCAGGUGUAGCGGUGAAAUGCGUAGAGAUCUGGAGGAAUACCGGUGGCGAAGGCGGCCCCCUGGACAAAGACUGACGCUCAGGUGCGAAAGCGUGGGAGCAAACAGGAUUAGAUACCCUGGUAGUCCACGCUGUAAACGAUGUCGACUUGGAGGUUGUGCCCUUGAGGCGUGGCUUCCGGAGCUAACGCGUUAAGUCGACGCCUGGGAGUACGGCCGCAAGGUUAAACUCAAUGAAUUGACGGGCCCGCACAAGCGGUGAGCAUGUGGUUUAAUCGAUGC